UACGGAGGGUGCAAGCGUUAAUCGGAAUUACUGGGCGUAAAGCGCGCGUAGGUGGUUUGGUAAGCGAGAUGUGAAAGCCCCGGGCUUAACCUGGGAACGGCAUUUCGAACUGUCAGGCUAGAGUGUGGUAGAGGGUAGUGGAAUUUCCUGUGUAGCGGUGAAAUGCGUAGAUAUAGGAAGGAACACCAGUGGCGAAGGCGGCUACCUGGACCAACACUGACACUGAGGUGCGAAAGCGUGGGGAGCAAACAGG
This 253-nucleotide ribosomal RNA is filed under the name uncultured microorganism. RNAcentral describes it as "partial 16S ribosomal RNA". It matches the Rfam family "Bacterial small subunit ribosomal RNA", at positions 524 to 776 of the family's 1533-position model. The record is from RNAcentral.